CAAACUUGCUGCCCAAGUUCAAUUCCCAUCCAAUGGAUUGAAUUAAGCUCAAGAGAUCUUGACCACUCAAUUUAGUAUAAAAGGGAAGGAGUAACCCCUUCAUUUCACGCCAACUUCUUCUUCUUCUUCUCUUGAUUUUAUUCUGUUUUUGCAGCAACUUCCCCUCUCUUUUCUGGUUUAUGACUCACGUAGAACAGCAAGAGAAGUUCCUUUUCUUCUCUUCGUUGUUUUUUUUGUUUUCUGCAGAAACUUAUCUCUCAAGUUCUCUUCUCUCUCGGUCUUCAUUUCAGAAAAUCUCUCCCUUUUCCUUCUUUAUUUUCUGUAUAAUUGCAGCAACCAAUAGAUGCUGAAAAACCAGCAGCACUUCUCUUCUUUACUUCACAAAAACAGCAGGUAAAACUCUCUGUUUUUCUCCCGAAAAACAGCAGCCUCUUCCCUCUGAAAAGCCACAGAAAACUCUCCCUCUUCUGCAGAAAAAUAGUGCAGCAAAAGCUCUCUCUCUUCUCCUUGUUUCUCUCUCACUUUCAGCAGCACUUUCUCUGGUUUUAUGCAGAUUAUUAUUGCUGUAUAUUGCAGCAAACAAAACCCACAAUCCAUUUCUUUCUCUGUUUCUGAUUUUAUCAGAAUAGUGGAAGAAGAACACCCACUCUUCCAUGUUUUGGACAGCAGCUAAGGUGCAACAAAACUCCCCUUGUUCCCUCUCUUAAACAGCAGUGAAACAAGAGCAAAAACUCUCUCUUUUCUUCCUCAGUUUGCAGAAAAAUCAGCAAGAAGAAAAGCCCUUCUUUGCUCUCACUCUUCUCGGCCUGUAACAGAAAAGAAGAGCAGAAACUCUCCCUUAAUUUUCUAUCUCUGUUUCUCUCAUAAACAGCAAAUAACCCUCCCCACUGCACAGAAAAAGAAAAGCAACAAAGCUGUAGAAAACACUCCAUGUUUACCUUCCUACUAGCAGCCCGGAAACAAAAAGAAAGAACCCUCUCAUUUACUUUAUUUCACGUCCAGCAAAGCAGCAAGCUCUCUCUCUCUCUGUUUUUAAUCCAGCUCUCUUCUCUGUUUCCACUUGGUCCAGCAGCAAGCAAGUUUCCCUUUGACACCGUGGAGAAGGUAGCAAAAAUACUGCUAAGAAAAUAUCAGAUGACACUGUAGACCGGAGUAUUUUCUUUAUGGAUGGCAUAGAACCCGCCCUAAGAGCAAUAGAUCGAUAAAAACCGGUCUAACUUUUGUAUUGUACAUAUUUAUUUUGAAUUCCUAGAAAAAUGAUGUAAUAAUUAAAGAACUACUAUGUAUAUAUUCUUAUAAUGAAAUAUAGCCAUGUGCUAUUCCUGGGAAAA
This is a long non-coding RNA of Alnus glutinosa, 1331 nucleotides long. RefSeq lists it as uncharacterized. The record is from RefSeq and is a predicted model, not a curated record. The transcript is spliced from 2 exons. Lineage: Eukaryota; Viridiplantae; Streptophyta; Magnoliopsida; Fagales; Betulaceae.